Ixodes scapularis (black-legged tick) is the source of this 209-nucleotide long non-coding RNA. RefSeq lists it as uncharacterized. Lineage: Eukaryota; Metazoa; Arthropoda; Arachnida; Ixodida; Ixodidae. The transcript is spliced from 3 exons. The record is from RefSeq and is a predicted model, not a curated record.
CAGCUUCCUGGUACAGCACCGAAGCCACCUCCAGUGCCUGGAGCUAAGUCUCCAGCAGCAGUGUCUUCCCAAGGCUCCCAGUUUCCUGGCACAGCACUGCUGCCACCUCCAGUGCCUGCAGCUAAGUCUUCGGCAGCAGAAGGCUCCCAGCUCCCAAAUGCAGCAGGGCUGGAGGAAGGGGUGCUGAGGAAGUCUCUUUCCAUGAAAUU